This 513-nucleotide ribosomal RNA is filed under the name uncultured bacterium. RNAcentral's name for it is "bacterial SSU rRNA". It matches the Rfam family "Bacterial small subunit ribosomal RNA", at positions 9 to 517 of the family's 1533-position model. The record is from RNAcentral.
GAGUUUGAUCCUGGCUCAGAUUGAACGCUGGCGGCAGGCCUAACACAUGCAAGUCGAGCGGUAGAGAGAAGCUUGCUUCUCUUGAGAGCGGCGGACGGGUGAGUAAUGCCUAGGAAUCUGCCUGGUAGUGGGGGAUAACGCUCGGAAACGGACGCUAAUACCGCAUACGUCCUACGGGAGAAAGCAGGGGACCUUCGGGCCUUGCGCUAUCAGAUGAGCCUAGGUCGGAUUAGCUAGUUGGUGAGGUAAUGGCUCACCAAGGCGACGAUCCGUAACUGGUCUGAGAGGAUGAUCAGUCACACUGGAACUGAGACACGGUCCAGACUCCUACGGGAGGCAGCAGUGGGGAAUAUUGGACAAUGGGCGAAAGCCUGAUCCAGCCAUGCCGCGUGUGUGAAGAAGGUCUUCGGAUUGUAAGGCACUUUAAGUUGGAAGGAAGGGCAGUAAAUUAAUACUUUGCUGUUUUGACGUUACCGACAGAAUAAGCACCGGCUAACUCUGUGCCAGCCGCCG